UAAGCCAUCGGGGACCAUAACAGGAGUGUUCAUGUUGCAGGCCCUGUCAGAUUCUCUGAAUGCAAAUCCUGCU
This 73-nucleotide ribozyme is filed under the name Chrysemys picta bellii (western painted turtle). RNAcentral's name for it is "Mammalian CPEB3 ribozyme (ENSCPBG00000000090.1)". It matches the Rfam family "Mammalian CPEB3 ribozyme". From Rfam's summary of the family: The mammalian CPEB3 ribozyme is a self cleaving RNA located in the second intron of the CPEB3 gene which belongs to a family of genes regulating messenger RNA polyadenylation. This ribozyme is highly conserved and found only in mammals. There is currently only one other known self cleaving ribozyme in mammals, the CoTC motif. Lineage: Eukaryota; Metazoa; Chordata; Testudines; Emydidae. The record is from RNAcentral.